RNAcentral lists this ribosomal RNA (373 nucleotides) under Poeobius meseres. RNAcentral's name for it is "eukaryotic LSU rRNA". It matches the Rfam family "Eukaryotic large subunit ribosomal RNA", at positions 42 to 365 of the family's 3401-position model. Lineage: Eukaryota; Metazoa; Annelida; Polychaeta; Terebellida; Flabelligeridae. The record is from RNAcentral.
AUUAGUAAGCGGAGGAAAAGAAACUAACAAGGAUUCCCCUAGUAACGGCGAGUGAAGAGGGAAGAGCCCAGCACCGAAUCCCCCGCGCUUAACGCGUGGCGGGAACUGUGGUGUAAAGGAGGGCCUUUGUCGGCGAUCGGUCCUGUCGUCGUUUCGGCGGUGGCUGGAUCACAGGGGGCACCCGAGUCUCACUGGAAUGUGGCCGUCUUCCCAUAGCGGGUGUCAGGCCUCUACGGUGCCUCUGGUCGUCGGCUCGAGCCUCUCCUAAGAGUCGGGUUGCUUGGGAAUGCAGCCUAAAGACGGGUGGUAAACUCCAUCCAAGGCUAAAUACUGACGCGAGACCGAUAGCGGACAAGUACCGCAAGGGAAAGUU